GCGGCUAUGGUGUAACGGCAGCACCUGUCCCUUCCAAGGAUACGGUGCCGGUUCGAAUCCGGCUAGCCGCUCCA
This 74-nucleotide transfer RNA is filed under the name Chloroflexota bacterium. RNAcentral describes it as "tRNA-Gly". It matches the Rfam family "tRNA". From Rfam's summary of the family: Transfer RNA (tRNA) molecules are approximately 80 nucleotides in length. Their secondary structure includes four short double-helical elements and three loops (D, anti-codon, and T loops). The record is from RNAcentral. Lineage: Bacteria; Bacillati; Chloroflexota.